UUUUCUCAUUUGUUGAUUUAGAAAUUUUCAGUUAAACCUAAAUGCCAACGUUUAACCGAAAAAUGUUGAUGUCAAGUCUGCUAGAAAAUAUAAACAGGUUGACACAGAAUACAGACUCCAAGUUAAUAUUUAAAACAGAAUUAAACAGCUUAGAGAUCACUCGGCUCAAACCCCCGCCCUACACUCACCAAAUAGGUACGGACUUCUCAACUGAGUUUAGUUUAAUUUCUGAAAGUUCAGUUCAAUUUCUGGAAAAUCCGGAAUAUCCGGAUUCAUCAACUCUUCAUGCUGACCCCUCGGCUCUUUAUCCUGAUUCCCCGACACAAUCCUCUGAUUCCUCAUCACUCAUUCAUGAUUUUCCGACAGUGGUGGCCGAUUCAACCUCUAACCGUACCCCUAGAUAUACCUGUCAGAAAUGCAACUAUACUACGCAAAAGAAGAGUAACUAUACGACGCAUUUAAAAUGCGUUCAUUUGAAGGAAAAAUUUCCAUGUGGAAUUUGCCACAGGCUUUUCUCUAACCUACCACAGCACAUGAGAGUCGCACAUGCCACAACUCAGGGAAAACUUUUGAAUGAGAAAAUCCGUGAAAAUAUUUCCGAAAACUUGAACUCCGAGGAUUUAGGCCUGAAGUCUCAUUUAGCCCUAGUCCCUAGUGCAGCUGUCAUCACAUCCGGUUAUUCAUGUAAACUUUGCAGCCAACAUUUUGCGACCAAAUCUGAUCUUUCUUUGCACAGAAAAACGCAUAAAGCCAACAUUAAACGUGAAUGCGAGAUUUGUAAAAAACUAUAUUCAAACCUGGAACAGCAUGUUAAAAUUGUGCACAGAAAGAUAAAAAACUUUGAAUGCGUCAAUUGUCGGAAAAGAUUUUACGAUAAUCGUGAAUUAAGAAAUCAUCAUUUAAAAUCCCUGCAAACUGGUCUGUGCCAGACAAUCAGUACAGACCAAGAUGGGAAAAGGUUUCCCUGUGAUCAAUGUGAAUACAAAUCAAAAACAAAAACAAAUCUGACAUUACACAUCGAGAGUAUUCAUCUAGGUAUAAAGUACACCUGCCCAGCUUGUUUCACGCAGGUUUCAUCACGUCCCAACCUGAACAGCCAUAUGAAGCACUGCAAGCUCAGGGAUCACGGAGAAAGGGAAUCUCGUCGAAUUCUCUUUCAGUGCAAACUUUGCGAAUAUUCCACACCUCGUGCUGGUCAUCUUGACAGACACAUCCUGUCUGUACAUGGAACUGAAGCUCUGGAGACUGUAACAAGUGUCUAUGAAGCAAGUACCAAGAUUGGAUCUGCUCCAGCUCCCACACAUCCUUCCUGUAAAAUACCAUUCAAGCUUCCACAGUUCUUUAAUCUUGUAAAUCUGGAGAACAUCGAAGGUCUGCUUGAUAUGGAUUUCAUGAGUUCAAAUGUUCAUCUUCAAAGUCCAGAUGGGUCAGGGUUUCAAAGCACAGCGUAUCUCAACAGUUUAGAACACUGCAAUGGUAUUCAAGAUGAUUUCAGUGAGAGAACAAGGGAGAAUUAUAUUUUAAACGAAGAUCUUGAAACACCUCGCAGUGAUCCCAACUUCCUCCGUCCAGCUGGGGAUGGGUUGGGGGAAGAUGGAGUAGGUCACCACAACAUGGAGGAGGUUCAACCUGUUGUAGAUAUUUCAACUCAUCGACCAUUGAAAAUAUCUCUUCAAGAUCUUGAUGGGUUAGAACUUAUGCCACUCAUUCCAGAUGGAGAAACAGAGACUGAAAAAUCUUCCCCUUUCCAAUCCACUAUUAGACCAGUAGUAUCCAGCCCUGAGUUUAUUCUACAGGAGGUAGAUCAGACAGGGUUUAGAGAUCAUCAUCCUACAUUCCAAUCAGGACUUCAGGUCUCUUCUCUUUCAUCUACAAAGCCCAGUGGUCAUACUUCCCAAAGUGAAGAUAUAAAUAGUGAAGCAGCUUGUAAUCCUGGCCUGGUAGUUUUAAACAUUAGAUCCAUUUCAUCAUUAGAAGACGCAAACACGAUUUCUGUUCCAGUAUUAGGAGAUAUGACAAGGAUGUCUGGUCCUGCGAUGGAAGAUGCAACUGGAAGGUCUGUGCCUGCUUUGGAGAAUGUUACUGGAAGGUCUUUUCAUGCUUUGGAGGACGUGCCAGGGAGGUCUGUUCUUUCUAUUGAAGAUGCAACUAAAAGGUCUGCACAUGCUAUGGAGAAUGUUACUGGAAGGUCUGUUCUUGCUUUGGAGGACGUGACAGGGAGGUCUGUUCUUGAUAUGGAAGAUGCAUCUGAAAGGUCUACACAUGCUAUGGAGAAUGUUACCCUAACGUCUGUAUCUUCUGUGGAAGACAAGACAGAAAGGGUUAUACCUCCCGUAGAGUUUUUGCAGAGAUCUCCUUCCCCCUUGGAUGGGGAUUAUAGUAGCCGUGUUUCAAACCAAUCUUUUCUUUAUGAGAUUUAAGAAUUCGUGAAUAUUUGAAAGUCAGAAUCUCUGCAUAUCAAAAUAGCAUAUCACUUAAAGUGUGGCUCACUCUUUAAGUCAAUUCUAAGAGCUGGCAGCUAUCGGAUCAUGUGAGACAAGUUGAUUUCAGCUUAUUCAUAAGUUGGGUCUAAGAUGGAGUCUAAUACCAGGGUCUAAGAGCUGGCAGCUAUCGGAUCAUGUGAGACAAGUUGAUUUCAGCUUAUUCAUGAUGGAGUCUAAUACCAGGGUCUAAGAGCUGGCAGCUAUCGGAUCAUGUGAGACAAGUUGAUUUCAGCUUAUUCAUAAGUUUGGUCUAAGAUGGAGUAUAAUACCAGGGUCUAAGGAAUUAAGACUCGAGCCAAAGCUUUUAAAUCGCGGUCUCAGAUGUCAUUGCUUAGUCGUAUUAGUGCCAACAAUCCAGAUACGUCGGUUUUAUUAAACUUAUUAAAUGUAUUGCUACAAGAGGUUUAUGUUAUUGGUAUUUUUU
RNAcentral lists this unclassified non-coding RNA (2907 nucleotides) under Eurytemora carolleeae. RNAcentral describes it as "uncharacterized LOC111709017". The record is from RNAcentral. Lineage: Eukaryota; Metazoa; Arthropoda; Copepoda; Calanoida; Temoridae.